Molecule: ribosomal RNA, 229 nt
Filed under: uncultured bacterium
Lineage: Bacteria
Description: partial 16S ribosomal RNA
Rfam family: Bacterial small subunit ribosomal RNA
Source: RNAcentral
UGCGUAGGCGGCGCAAUAAGUCAGAGGUGAAAGCCUCCCGCUCAACGGGAGAACGGCCUUUGAUACUGUUGUGCUUGAAUCAGGUUGAGGACAGCGGAAUGUGGCAUGUAGCGGUGAAAUGCAUAGAUAUGCCAUAGAACACCAAUUGCGAAGGCAGCUGUCUGGGCCUGUAUUGACGCUGAGGCACGAAAGCGUGGGGAGCGAACAGGAUUAGAUACCCUGGUAGUCC